GUUAUAUUUCUUUAAGUGUUUUCUUUGCUUUCGCUGUACUUCUUUAAGAGUUCCUGACGAGGACAUUUGAUGCACAGAUGACUGCGUGCCGGAUCAUGGCCAGGCGCAUCAAGCUUUAAAAAGGAUUGUCCACACUGCCGCUCGUUCCUACGACAUAGUCUGCCGACGAGCUUCCGGGGUUUGUCCGUGUGGGAAGCCCGGUAGUGACCAAGGUGACCGCGGCUACGGCGUUUUCGUGCACCUGUGCAGAGAUUGUCCCCGUGCAGCCAUACACUGGGUCUCUGAUCCGAGCGUUUGCCUCGUACACCAGGCUGUUGGCAACGUCCGAUCGCUGGGCCUCUGGAACUUCCUGCAAGAACCACACCAGUGACAAGCUCAUCAAAGUCUGUCUUUUCAGCAAUCUAGCAACCAUCAAAACGACAAGACGCAUCUCAGAAAGCACACUCCGAAAGAGAAAAGAGUGCCACUUAGAAAGACAAUGGAAUAGUGGUGCUCGGAGGGCCACGGGAAGAGAGGAGGGGAGAGAUGAUUGAUC
Selaginella moellendorffii is the source of this 535-nucleotide long non-coding RNA. RefSeq lists it as uncharacterized. Lineage: Eukaryota; Viridiplantae; Streptophyta; Lycopodiopsida; Selaginellales; Selaginellaceae. The record is from RefSeq and is a predicted model, not a curated record. The transcript has 4 exons.